CAGCAGCCGCGGUAAGACAGAGGAUGUAAGCGUUAUCCGGAAUGAUUGGGCGUAAAGGGAGUGUAGGCGGUCUUUUAAGUCUGAUGUGAAAGCCCACGGCUCAACCGUGGAGGGUCAUUGGAAACUGGGAGACUUGAGUGCAGAAGAGGAGAGCGGAAUUCCAUGUGUAGCGGUGAAAUGCGUAGAUAUAUGGAGGAACACCAGUGGCGAAGGCGGCUCUCUGGUCUGUAACUGACGCUGAGGCUCGAAAGCGUGGGGAGCAAACAGGAUUAGAUACCCCAGUAGUCCCUGUCUCUUAUAC
RNAcentral lists this ribosomal RNA (301 nucleotides) under uncultured bacterium. Its description in RNAcentral is "partial 16S ribosomal RNA". It matches the Rfam family "Bacterial small subunit ribosomal RNA", at positions 509 to 807 of the family's 1533-position model. The record is from RNAcentral.